This 276-nucleotide ribosomal RNA is filed under the name uncultured bacterium. RNAcentral describes it as "partial 16S ribosomal RNA". The record is from RNAcentral.
GGACUACCGGGGUUUCUAAUCCUGUUCGUUACACAAUGCCUUCGUCCCUCAACGUCAGUUUUUACAUAGAGGUUUGCCUUUGCCUUUACCCGUCCAAAAGAUAUCAAAAGAUUUUAUCCUUACACCUUCGGUUCUUUAUUUUCCUCCUACAUAUAAAACUCUAGCUAUUCCAUUACUUCUCCUUUAAAAGAGUAAGAUAAAGCCGUCUAGGUACCCUUUAAACCUAAUAAAGAUGAAUAACACUAGUCUCCUUUGUCUUACCGCGGCUGCUGGCAC